AUUGAACGCUGGCGGCAGGCCUAACACAUGCAAGUCGAGCGGAUGCAGGGAGCUUGCUCCUGGAUUCAGCGGCGGACGGGUGAGUAAUGCCUAGGAAUCUGCCUGGUAGUGGGGGCUAACGUCCGGAAACGGGCGCUAAUACCGCAUACGUCCUGAGGGAGAAAGUGUGGGAUCUUCGGACCUCACGCUCUCAGAUGAUCCUAGGUCGGAUUAGCUAGUUGGUGGGGUAAAGGCCUACCAAGGCGACGAUCCGUAACUGGUCUGAGAGGAUGAUCAGUCACACUGGAACUGAGACACGGUCCAGACUCCUACGGGAGGCAGCAGUGGGGAAUAUUGGACAAUGGGCGAAAGCCUGAUCCAGCCAUGCCGCGUGUGUGAAGAAGGUCUUCGGAUUGUAAAGCACUUUAAGUUGGGAGGAAGGGCAGUAAGUUAAUACCUUGCUGUUUUGACGUUACCAAAAGAAUAAGCACCGGCUAACUUCGUG
Molecule: ribosomal RNA, 484 nt
Filed under: uncultured bacterium
Lineage: Bacteria
Description: partial 16S ribosomal RNA
Rfam family: Bacterial small subunit ribosomal RNA
Source: RNAcentral